RNAcentral lists this ribosomal RNA (340 nucleotides) under uncultured Latescibacterota bacterium. RNAcentral's name for it is "bacterial SSU rRNA". It matches the Rfam family "Bacterial small subunit ribosomal RNA", at positions 29 to 351 of the family's 1533-position model. The record is from RNAcentral. Lineage: Bacteria; Pseudomonadati; Candidatus Latescibacterota.
AACGAACGCUGGCGGCGUGGAUUAGGCAUGCAAGUCGAACGAGAAAGGUUCCUUCGGGAACUUAGUAAAGUGGCAAACGGGUGAGUAACGCGUGGGAAACUUGCCUUUCAGCUGGGGAUAACACUUCCAACGAGGUGCUAAUACCGAAUAUGAUCAUGAUGUCGCAUGGCAAUAUGAUCAAAGGUGGCCUCUGUUUCAAGCUACCGCUGAAAGAUGGUCCCGCGUCCCAUUAGCUAGUUGGUAGGGUAACGGCCUACCAAGGCUGUGAUGGGUAGCCGGCCUUAGCGGGUGUCCGGCCACACUGGGACUGAGAUACGGCCCAGACUCCUACGGGAGGCAG